Molecule: ribosomal RNA, 403 nt
Filed under: Fusobacteriota bacterium
Lineage: Bacteria; Fusobacteriati; Fusobacteriota
Description: Fusobacteria bacterium partial 16S ribosomal RNA
Rfam family: Bacterial small subunit ribosomal RNA
Source: RNAcentral
UGGGGAAUAUUGCACAAUGGAGGGAACUCUGAUGCAGCGACGCCGCGUGAACGAAGAAGGCUUUCGAGUCGUAAAGUUCUUUUAUAUGGGAAGAUAAUGACGGUACCAUAAGAAAAAGCCCCGGCUAACUACGUGCCAGCAGCCGCGGUAAUACGUAGGGGGCUAGCGUUGUCCGGAAUCACUGGGCGUAAAGGGUUCGCAGGCGGAAAUGCAAGUCAGGUGUAAAAGGCAGUAGCUUAACUACUGUAAGCAUUUGAAACUGCAUAUCUUGAGAAGAGUAGAGGUAAGUGGAAUUUUUAGUGUAGCGGUGAAAUGCGUAGAUAUUAAAAAGAAUACCGGUGGCGAAGGCGACGUACUGGGCUCAUUCUGGCGCUGAGGAACGAAAGCGUGGGUAGCAAACAGG